GGAAGUUAAGAAACUGUUUCUUAAUUUUUAACUUUUAACUAAAAAAGUUAAGAACCGAUUCUUAAAUAAGGACUUUAAGAACCGAUUCUUAACUUUUUUAGUUAAAAGUUAAGAAACAGUUUCUUAACUUCU
Molecule: non-coding RNA, 132 nt
Organism: Brassica napus (rape)
Lineage: Eukaryota; Viridiplantae; Streptophyta; Magnoliopsida; Brassicales; Brassicaceae
Source: Rfam